CUACCACUCGACGAUUCCUCGC
This 22-nucleotide non-coding RNA is filed under the name Arabidopsis thaliana (thale cress). Lineage: Eukaryota; Viridiplantae; Streptophyta; Magnoliopsida; Brassicales; Brassicaceae. The record is from RNAcentral.